ACUCCUACGGGAGGCAGCAGUGGGGAAUAUUGCACAAUGGGCGCAAGCCUGAUGCAGCCAUGCCGCGUGUAUGAAGAAGGCCUUCGGGUUGUAAAGUACUUUCAGCAGUGAGGAAGGUGGAUAUGUUAAUAGCAUAUUCAUUUGACGUUAGCUGCAGAAGAAGCACCGGCUAACUCCGUGCCAGCAGCCGCGGUAAUACGGAGGGUGCGAGCGUUAAUCGGAAUUACUGGGCGUAAAGCGCAUGCAGGUGGUUUGUUAAGUCAGAUGUGAAAGCCCGGGGCUCAACCUCGGAAUUGCAUUUGGAAACUGGCAAACUAGAGUACUGUAGAGGGGGGUAGAAUUUCAGGUGUAGCGGUGAAAUGCGUAGAGAUCUGAAGGAAUACCGGUGGCGAAGGCGGCCCCCUGGACAGAUACUGACACUCAGAUGCGAAAGCGUGGGGAGCAAACAGGAUUAGAUACCCUGGUAGCUCU
RNAcentral lists this ribosomal RNA (471 nucleotides) under uncultured bacterium. RNAcentral's name for it is "bacterial SSU rRNA". It matches the Rfam family "Bacterial small subunit ribosomal RNA", at positions 335 to 797 of the family's 1533-position model. The record is from RNAcentral.